RNAcentral lists this long non-coding RNA (1988 nucleotides) under Danio rerio (zebrafish). RNAcentral's name for it is "integrin, alpha 7 (ENSDARG00000117448.1)". Lineage: Eukaryota; Metazoa; Chordata; Actinopteri; Cypriniformes; Danionidae. The record is from RNAcentral.
GUGUCAGUGAUGAUCUACCCAGAGAUCGGGCUGUCAGAUCAGUAUGGCGUCCCCUGGUGGAUCAUCCUCAUCGCUGUCCUGGCUGGAGUGCUUGUGCUGGCGCUGCUCGUGUGUUUACUGUGGAAGUGUGGUUUCUUCAAGCGUGCGGAGCGGCAGCCGCAGUAUGAAACGGAGUAUCACUGCGCUCACCUGCAGCAGCAGCCGUCAGACGCCGAGCGGAAACACACCGAGCUGCAGUGAGGGCUCGUCACAGCACCUGCAGACGCUCACGUGUGGUUUCUUCAGAAGGGUUCGGCAUGAAGAUCAGGUUCCUCAGUAUCAGGCGGUGAAGAUCAUGCGGCGGGACGCUCCACUGCUGGACGACACACUCAUUCUGCACAAACGGCAGUGGGCGACACACUGGAGCCAGGGGUCCAUCUGAGACUGCAGACACACACACACACACACACACACACACACACACUCAUUGAAGAGGAACACACACUCAUGUGGAGAGUUGACCAGCUUUCCCUCAGGAUCUGCAGGCUGACAGGAGACGUCUGGAGUAGCGCUGCAUCUGGCUGCAGGCUGAUCCUCGGUCAGUGGAUAUUAACAGAUGCAGGGUCGUCAGGGCUGAGGGAUCACGCGUCUGCAGGAGCUUCCAGCAUCAGCUGAACACAGAAGAGGAUAUUCUGCAGAUGAACACUGGAGGUCUGCGGGUCUCCAGCAUCUCCAGAAUAUCUGCUGUAGUGUUGAUCAGAUCAAUGAAGCUGUGGAGAUUAAAUUGAUGAUGACAGAAUAAUAUCUGGGUGAAUUAACCCUUUCAGACGGUUAUUGAUGUGUAGAGGUGUGUGUGUGUGUGUGUGUGUGUGUGAACUCAUGAAGCCGCUGCAGUUCUUCUGUUCUUCAGGCUUUUGGACAUUGAGCUUUACUCGUCUGCUCUUCAUGCUCUCCUCACGGCUUCAUUGCCCUUUCGCACUGAGUUAUAUGAACAUUAGAGUGUGUUACAGUAUCCGUGAGCUGUUCCUCAGUGUUUUGCACAGGCGUCUGCCGCUCUGCUCUGAUCAUGUGCCGCUGUCUGCUUUAUUUAUUGCUGAUGUUGAUCUGAGUAUGUUGUCCUGUUCCUCCAUUGAUCGGUCCAGUUCAGCAGAUCCUCAGGACAGUAUAGUGUUGCUCAGAUGAUGAGGAGUGUGUGUUCUGUGUGCUUCUGUCAUGUGUCUUUGUACACUGAAAUCAACAAGUAAAAUGUUCAACUCUAGUUCAGUCGAUCGCCUGCUUUACAGUCUUUACCUGUUCCCUGAACAUGAAUUUGUGAAGGUGAUGAUGAUGAUGAUUGUUAUGAUUAUUAUUAUGUGUUGAGGAAGAAGUUCCUGCAUCUGUUCUCCUUCACUACAGCUUUGGCUGUUUACUCUCUGCUGUCCUUCCAGAUCUGUCAGUUCCUGUUUUGUCCGCUAGAUGUCGCCGUCUCAGUUCAGUUCAGUUCAGUCAGAGGUGAACACACACACACACACACACGAAGAAAACAUCUGUGUUUUUCUGAAAGCUGCAGGACUGAUUGGAAGCAGGUGAGCUGAUCACAGCAGCUCCUGGAGAAUGUGUGUGUGUCUUUCCCAAACUCCUGCCAGAGAGAAGCUGAUCCAGAACUGAUGAACUCUCUCUCUGUCUCUCUCUCUCUCUCUGUCUCUCUCCCUCUCUCUGUCUCUCUCUCUCUCUCUCUCUCUCUCUCUCUCUCUCUCUCUCUCUCUCUCUCUCUCAUUAUAGCUGCAUUGUCGUUAUAUCACAGCGCACUGAUUGAUUAUACUGAUAUAUGGACAUAUUGAGCUAAGCAGACAGUAAAUCUAGAGCAAUGAUAUAAUCGAUUAUUAAACAAUAUAAUAUAGAAUGUAUAUGAAAUAUUGAACUGGUUUGAGAUAACAGUAAUUAUUGUAGUGUAAGUGUUCCCACACUGAUCCUCAUCUCUACAGGUUUCCUCUGGAUUCAGUGGUGACCGUGUGGUGAGUGGAGUAAAC